UUUCCGUAGGUGAACCUGCGGAAGGAUCAUUAUUGGAAUUUGAAACUUCAGGCUGCUGCUGGCUCUCCUCGGAGGGCAUGUGCACGCUUGUUGUCCAUUAUUUCUCCCACUGUGCACAAAUUGUAGACCUUUCAGUAGGCCUAUGUUGUUUUCCACAAUCUCUGAAUGUAAUAGAAUGGUUUUGAAUCUUGGGAAAUACAAUACAACUUUCAGCAACGGAUCUCUUGGCUCUC
RNAcentral lists this unclassified non-coding RNA (233 nucleotides) under plant metagenome. RNAcentral describes it as "partial contains small subunit ribosomal RNA, internal transcribed spacer 1, and 5.8S ribosomal RNA". The record is from RNAcentral.